RNAcentral lists this transfer RNA (70 nucleotides) under Pisidia serratifrons. RNAcentral's name for it is "tRNA-Trp". Lineage: Eukaryota; Metazoa; Arthropoda; Malacostraca; Decapoda; Porcellanidae. The record is from RNAcentral.
AGAAUUUUAAGUUAUUUUAAACUAUUAACCUUCAAAGUUAAAAAGAGAAGUUUUAACCUUCUAAAUUCUA